UCGCGCUAGGCGGGGAGAUAGCGGUGCCCUGAACCCGCAAUCCGCUCUAGCGGGGCUGAACUCCCUCCCGAGGGAGGCGACCGGAGGUCGCUCUCUUCGGCGGCGGCGUUGAGGGCCCGGGUCCCGCGCGGUGUCGGCUCGUGAACCAGGUCAGAUCCGGAAGGAAGCAGCCUUAAGCGGACCCCGGCAGGCGCAGCGGGAGCUCCCGGUGCCGGAGCCGCCGGCCGCGGCAGACGGCCCCCGGCCCCUCUCGACGGAGGGUGCGCGA
Molecule: signal recognition particle RNA, 268 nt
Filed under: Actinomycetes bacterium
Lineage: Bacteria; Bacillati; Actinomycetota; Actinomycetes
Description: Actinobacteria bacterium signal recognition particle sRNA large type
Rfam family: Bacterial large signal recognition particle RNA
About the family: The signal recognition particle (SRP) is a universally conserved ribonucleoprotein involved in the co-translational targeting of proteins to membranes. Archaeal SRP consists of a 7S RNA and homologues of the eukaryotic SRP19 and SRP54 proteins.
Source: RNAcentral